CACGUAGGGGGCAAGCGUUGUCCGGAUUUAUUGGGCGUAAAGAGCUCGUAGGCGGCUCAGUAAGUCGGGUGUGAAAACUGGAGGCUCAACCUUCAGACGUCGACCGAAACCAUCUGGCUAGAGUCCGGGAGAGGAGAGUGGAAUUCCUGGUGUAGCGGUGAAAUGCGCAGAUAUCAGGAGGAACACCCGUGGCGAAAGCGGCUCUCUGGGACGGUACUGACGCUGAGACGCGAAAGCGUGGGGAGCGAACAGG
This 253-nucleotide ribosomal RNA is filed under the name uncultured bacterium. RNAcentral describes it as "partial 16S ribosomal RNA". It matches the Rfam family "Bacterial small subunit ribosomal RNA", at positions 524 to 776 of the family's 1533-position model. The record is from RNAcentral.